AGUGAACGCUGGCGGUAGGCCUAACACAUGCAAGUCGAACGGCAGCACAGUAAGAGCUUGCUCUUACGGGUGGCGAGUGGCGGACGGGUGAGGAAUACAUCGGAAUCUACUUUUUCGUGGGGGAUAACGUAGGGAAACUUACGCUAAUACCGCAUACGACCUACGGGUGAAAGCAGGGGAUCUUCGGACCUUGCGCGAUUGAAUGAGCCGAUGUCGGAUUAGCUAGUUGGCGGGGUAAAGGCCCACCAAGGCGACGAUCCGUAGCUGGUCUGAGAGGAUGAUCGGCCACACUGGACCUGAGACACGGUCCAGACUCCUACGGGAGGCAGCAGUGGGGAAUAUUGGACAAUGGGCACAAGCCUGAUCCAGCCAUACCGCGUGGGUGAAGAAGGCCUUCGGGUUGUAAAGCCCUUUUGUUGGGAAAGAAAAGCAGCAGGUUAAUACCCCGCUGUUCUGACGGUACCCAAAGAAUAAGCACCGGCUAACUUCGUG
RNAcentral lists this ribosomal RNA (492 nucleotides) under uncultured bacterium. RNAcentral's name for it is "partial 16S ribosomal RNA". It matches the Rfam family "Bacterial small subunit ribosomal RNA", at positions 29 to 507 of the family's 1533-position model. The record is from RNAcentral.